CUGCAUCGAGGGAUGCUGCCUGCCAGACUGACCCACUGGAGACCCGUUCUGGAGGCACACAGCUGUCCUGGAGGACUCUACAGUCUCAUGUCAGAAGUAAAGGUGUCCAGGCUACUGUGUCCUGCUAGGAUGUUGGUGUUGGGACAUCCACUAGAGAUCCUUUUUAUUUAUCAUCAACACCAGUAAAGAAACCUUCAAAGAGAUCUCGUCUCAACCUGGACGAGGAGCAGGAGCGGGAUUCAGAUCCAUUACAGGACACCUCUUCAGUGGCAUCUUCAAAAGGGCAGGACUCCACCUAUGACCAUUCAAACUCUUUGACAUUUCCUUUGACUCUGUCAAUAUGGUUUUAACUAUGACAAUAUGACACAUUUCGCCGGCAUGCCAGAUCCUUCAUUGAGCCUGCAGUCAUUCGCCACUGGAAGACACUGCAGGAUGUGAUGCUGCAGCGGCUCAGUCAGGAGGACAAAGUAAUCGUUGGUGGCGACAUGAGGGCAGACUCUCCAGGUUUUUAUAUUUCACUGAAAUUAAAGACUCUACCUGG
Molecule: long non-coding RNA, 541 nt
Organism: Salarias fasciatus (jewelled blenny)
Lineage: Eukaryota; Metazoa; Chordata; Actinopteri; Blenniiformes; Blenniidae
Exons: 3
Source: RefSeq, a predicted model, not a curated record